RNAcentral lists this ribosomal RNA (497 nucleotides) under uncultured bacterium. RNAcentral's name for it is "partial 16S ribosomal RNA". It matches the Rfam family "Bacterial small subunit ribosomal RNA", at positions 28 to 507 of the family's 1533-position model. The record is from RNAcentral.
GACGAACGCUGGCGGCGUGCCUAAUACAUGCAAGUAGAACGCUGAAGCUUGGUGCUUGCACCGAGCGGAUGAGUUGCGAACGGGUGAGUAACGCGUAGGUAACCUGCCUGGUAGCGGGGGAUAACUAUUGGAAACGAUAGCUAAUACCGCAUAAGAGUAGAUGUUGCAUGACAUUUGCUUAAAGGGUGCAAUUGCAUCACUACCAGAUGGACCUGCGUUGUAUUAGCUAGUUGGUGAGGUAACGGCUCACCAAGGCAACGAUACAUAGCCGACCUGAGAGGGUGAUCGGCCACACUGGGACUGAGACACGGCCCAGACUCCUACGGGAGGCAGCAGUAGGGAAUCUUCGGCAAUGGACGGAAGUCUGACCGAGCAACGCCGCGUGAGUGAAGAAGGUUUUCGGAUCGUAAAGCUCUGUUGUAAGAGAAGAACGAGUGUGAGAGUGGAAAGUUCACACUGUGACGGUAUCUUACCAGAAAGGGACGGCUAACUACGUG